GAUGUAAAAAGCUAGUUAGCGCAAAUGGUAAAGGGCUUGGUGGUUGGUACUCGAGAUCCCAAAUUCGAAUCCUUAAAGGGUUUGGUGGUUGGUACUCGAGAUCCCAAAUUCGAAUCCUAAUUGAUUCACAUUUCCAAUUAAGUUUAUUUCUAAAUAAAAUAAAUGAAACUGGUAGCAUACUAUCUAUCUCUCUUUCUUAAAAAAAAAAAAAAAAGGAGGUCCAAUGCAUAAUUUAGGAAAGCUUAUGCACACAAUUUUUGUCACACAGUUUGGAAAUUGUUUCCUAAGAACGGGAGACGAGAUCAGAGGAACUAAUGUCAGGGGGUAAAGAAAA
RNAcentral lists this long non-coding RNA (334 nucleotides) under Ananas comosus (pineapple). RNAcentral describes it as "long non-coding RNA (ACOM_LNC019618)". Lineage: Eukaryota; Viridiplantae; Streptophyta; Magnoliopsida; Poales; Bromeliaceae. The record is from RNAcentral.